UGCGGAGGGAUCAUUACUGAGUUUACGCUCUACAACCCUUUGUGAACAUACCUAUAACUGUUGCUUCGGCGGGUAGGGUCUCCGUGACCCUCCCGGCCUCCCGCCCCCCCGGGCGGGUCGGCGCCCGCCGGAGGAUAACCAAACUCUGAUUUAACGACGUUUCUUCUGAGUGGUACAAGCAAAUAAUCAAAACUUUUAACAACGGAUCUCUUGGUUCUGGCAUCGAUGAAGAACGCAGCGAAAUGCGAUAAGUAAUGUGAAUUGCAGAAUUCAGUGAAUCAUCGAAUCUUUGAACGCACAUUGCGCCCGCCAGCAUUCUGGCGGGCAUGCCUGUUCGAGCGUCAUUUCAACCCUCAAGCUCUGCUUGGUGUUGGGGCCCUACAGCCGAUGUAGGCCCUCAAAGGUAGUGGCGGACCCUCCCGGAGCCUCCUUUGCGUAGUAACUUUACGUCUCGCACUGGGAUCCGGAGGGACUCUUGCCGUAAAACCCCCCAAUUUUCCAAAGGUUGACCUCGGAUCAGGUAGGAAUACCCGCUGAACUUAAGCAUAUCAAUA
Molecule: ribosomal RNA, 554 nt
Filed under: Colletotrichum queenslandicum
Lineage: Eukaryota; Fungi; Ascomycota; Sordariomycetes; Glomerellales; Glomerellaceae
Description: eukaryotic LSU rRNA
Rfam family: 5.8S ribosomal RNA (bases 191-344)
Source: RNAcentral